CAAUCCUGGUGGCGAGUGGCGAACGGUGAGUAAUGUAUCGGAACGUACCUUUCAGUGGGGAGUAACGUAGCGAAAGUUACGCUAAUACCGCAUAUUCUGUGAGCAGGAAAGCAGGGGAUCGCAAGACCUUGCGCUGAUUGAGCGGCCGAUAUCAGAUUAGCUAGUUGGUGAGGUAAAGGCUCACCAAGGCGACGAUCUGUAGCGGGUCUGAGAGGAUGAUCCGCCACACUGGAACUGAGACACGGUCCAGACUCCUACGGGAGGCAGCAGUGGGGAAGUUUUGGACAAUGGGCGCAAGCCUGAUCCAGCCAUGCCGCGUGAGUGAAGAAGGCCUUCGGGUUGUAAAGCUCUUUCAGCCGGGAAGAAAACGCAUGGGUUAAUACCCUGUGUGGAUGACGGUACCGGAAUAAGAAGCACCGGCUAACUACGUG
Molecule: ribosomal RNA, 431 nt
Filed under: uncultured bacterium
Lineage: Bacteria
Description: bacterial SSU rRNA
Rfam family: Bacterial small subunit ribosomal RNA
Source: RNAcentral